This 460-nucleotide ribosomal RNA is filed under the name uncultured bacterium. Its description in RNAcentral is "partial 16S ribosomal RNA". It matches the Rfam family "Bacterial small subunit ribosomal RNA", at positions 338 to 795 of the family's 1533-position model. The record is from RNAcentral.
CCUACGGGAGGCAGCAGUGAGGAAUAUUGGUCAAUGGACGAGAGUCUGAACCAGCCAAGUAGCGUGAAGGAUGACUGCCCUAUGGGUUGUAAACUUCUUUUAUAUGGGAAUAAAAUGUUCCACGUGUGGGCUUUUGUAUGUACCAUAUGAAUAAGGAUCGGCUAACUCCGUGCCAGCAGCCGCGGUAAUACGGAGGAUCCGAGCGUUAUCCGGAUUUAUUGGGUUUAAAGGGUGCGUAGAGGGGUUGUUAAGUCCGGUGUGAAAGUUUGCGGCUCAACCGUAAAAUUGCAAUUGAUACUGGCAGUCUUGAGUACAGUUGAGGUAGGCGGAAUUCGUGGUGUAGCGGUGAAAUGCUUAGAUAUCACGAAGAACCCCGAUUGCGAAGGCAGCUUACUAGACUGAGACUGACGUUGAUGCUCGAAAGUGUGGGUAUCAAACAGGAUUAGAUACCCCUGUAGUC